CAGAUUGAACGCUGGCGGCAUGCUUUACACAUGCAAGUCGGACGGCAGCACAGAGAAGCUUGCUUCUUGGGUGGCGAGUGGCGAACGGGUGAGUAACAUAUCGGAACGUACCGAGCAGUGGGGGAUAACUAAUCGAAAGAUUAGCUAAUACCGCAUAUAUUCUGAGGAAGAAAGCAGGGGACCAUUUGGCCUUGCGCUGUUUGAGCGGCCGAUAUCUGAUUAGCUAGUUGGUGGGGUAAAGGCCUACCAAGGCGACGAUCAGUAGCGGGUCUGAGAGGAUGAUCCGCCACACUGGGACUGAGACACGGCCCAGACUCCUACGGGAGGCAGCAGUGGGGAAUUUUGGACAAUGGGCGCAAGCCUGAUCCAGCCAUGCCGCGUGUCUGAAGAAGGCCUUCGGGUUGUAAAGGACUUUUGUCAGGGAAGAAAAGGGCGGGGUUAAUACCCCUGUCUGAUGACGGUACCUGAAGAAUAAGCACCGGCUAACUAC
RNAcentral lists this ribosomal RNA (490 nucleotides) under uncultured bacterium. RNAcentral's name for it is "bacterial SSU rRNA". It matches the Rfam family "Bacterial small subunit ribosomal RNA", at positions 25 to 504 of the family's 1533-position model. The record is from RNAcentral.